Trichobilharzia regenti is the source of this 45-nucleotide non-coding RNA. The record is from Rfam. Lineage: Eukaryota; Metazoa; Platyhelminthes; Trematoda; Strigeidida; Schistosomatidae.
AUCCAGAUGAUGAGUCCCAAAUAGGACGAAAUGCGAAUCCUAGAU